This 504-nucleotide ribosomal RNA is filed under the name uncultured bacterium. RNAcentral describes it as "bacterial SSU rRNA". It matches the Rfam family "Bacterial small subunit ribosomal RNA", at positions 15 to 507 of the family's 1533-position model. The record is from RNAcentral.
GAUCAUGGCUCAGAUUGAACGCUGGCGGCAGGCCUAACACAUGCAAGUCGAACGGUAACAGGAAGAAGCUUGCUUCUUUGCUGACGAGUGGCGGACGGGUGAGUAAUGUCUGGGAAACUGCCUGAUGGAGGGGGAUAACUACUGGAAACGGUAGCUAAUACCGCAUAACGUCGCAAGACCAAAGAGGGGGGACCUUCGGGCCUCUUGCCAUCGGAUGUGCCCAGAUGGGAUUAGCUAGUAGGUGGGGUAACGGCUCACCUAGGCGACGAUCCCUAGCUGGUCUGAGAGGAUGACCAGCCACACUGGAACUGAGACACGGUCCAGACUCCUACGGGAGGCAGCAGUGGGGAAUAUUGCACAAUGGGCGCAAGCCUGAUGCAGCCAUGCCGCGUGUAUGAAGAGGGCCUUCGGGUUGUAAAGUACUUUCAGCGGGGAGGAAGGGAGUAAAGUUAAUACCUUUGCUCAUUGACGUUACCCGCAGAAGAAGCACCGGCUAACUCCGUG